This 4216-nucleotide long non-coding RNA is filed under the name Homo sapiens (human). Its description in RNAcentral is "non-protein coding lnc-DLX3-3:1". The record is from RNAcentral. Lineage: Eukaryota; Metazoa; Chordata; Mammalia; Primates; Hominidae.
ACUACCAGGAAUCGGGUAUCCAGGUUGAAGGCGGAGACGACGCAGCCGCCGGCCGCCACCAUCAAGGCGAGCGCACAGAGCAUCAGGCGUGGGGCGCGGGGCGCGCGGCUGGGGCCGGGGCCCAUGGCUGCCAGCGGAAGCGGGGUCCCGGCGAGAGCGCGUGAGGGCGCGGAGCUGGGCGUGAGGACCUGUUCACCUGCUCCCCGCGCCGCCGGAGGACACUGGAACCCGCCGGCCGCUGCGCUCCGUAGCGCUGAUCGGUUUCGUGCCCCCAGCCCCAGCCAGUUUCACAGCUGCGCUCUCGGAUCCCUUCCUAAGAUCCGUGGGUCUAUCUUCCUGCCUCCCCAGCGGCCGGGUCGCCGCCGUCCCUGCCCCGGGCAACCGGCCCCCAGCUUGUCCCGGCCGCGCCCCCUUGGCCGCGCUGUCGCCUUCGAUCCCGGCUUCGCGGCGGAUCUGGCAAGCGCACCGGUCGACCGCAAGGAGGACAGGAGGGAGGGGUCCCCCGGCGCGCGCCCCGCCUCCCCACGCCCAGUCCCGCACCUCCCCACCUUGCGAGCCCAGCCCGGGCUGCGCUUUCCUUCCGGGGAAAGAGAAAAAGAUCCCGGCUCGGCCGCCUCCUCUUAAAGGGGCAGCACCGCCCCUCCCUCCUCAUCCUCCCUACCCCAGCUCCGCCUUCUCCCCCAAACACCUGUCGGCAACCCCCAAAGGCUUAGAUUUCCCCUCCCCGCCCCUCGCUUCUCCGAGAAAGCGUCGCCUGGGGAGCAAGAUGGAUGUGACGGGCGGGGCCGGGGGUGGGAUUUGUCUGGCCGCUUUCCUGCGGCUGCUGCUGCUGCUGCUGAAAAGGCCAGCCGGGCUGGAGAGACCUGGCAUUGGCGCAUCUGGGAACCGACGUCCGUGCGCGGCUGGCUAGAAUGCUGGACUCGCCUCCGCAGCGCUGGCCUGCAGGGAUUAGAAGACAUGUGGGGUCAAGGAACAGGAAGCUGACCUGGAUGGAAGUUGAACAGUGAUCUUUGCUCUCUGCCUGGCUCCUGAGUCCUCUGCCAUGUUCCUGGAGAAGAGGAGCCAGCCAGGGUAAGAAGGGCAGGGGCUUAGGGUGGAAACGCCAUGUGGGUGAGGAUCCUGCCUGAAACAGCUUUGAGAGUCCUGCGAUGACAGAUUGGCCCCAUGCCAGGCCUUAUCUCUUUGGACAUCCCAAACAGGAAUGACCAGCAUGUCCGAUCCUGGGACUGGGAGCCGGAAAGGGAUGAGGGAUGGUUUUUCCACUCCAGGGGAGUGUCCAGAGGGAAUGUGGAGCAGAGCAGGGGCGACUGGUAGGGGGAGGGCCUGAGCUAAAGAAUGUGGGGGAGUGUCAGACCAGUCUGGGGAGAUGGAGUGGGAGUGGAGGGAGACAUGGAGACUAGAAGGAUCUCAGCUGGAGAGAUGGAGAAAGAGAAAUCUCAGGGUUCUUUGGUUUCAGUGGCACCGUCGUCUGUAGGAUCAUCUCAUCCCUCAGUUGACUUUAUCAUGUCAACUCUUUAUCUGUCAACCCUCCCCCAUGGGGAAGAGACCCACCUAGAAACACACAGACAGACAGAGAAACAAGGACACAGGAAUAAUAUGUGUAAUGAGGAGUCUAAGUCCAUUUGUUGAUGUUUGCUGACAGAUUUUAAGCCUCACCCUUCCCUCUUCUCUGUGCCCUACACCUGGACAAGCUGAUAAGAAAGUCUGGGUGCACCCUCCUUUGGUGUUUGAGGGGGAAUAUUCACAAGCCCCUUCCUGAGGGAACCCUCACCCCUCAACCACAAUAAAAACCCAGGCCAGUCUCCUUCCUGGCUCUCCCAACACAUCUGGGACCUGCUUGAAAGACUGCCCCUGCUCCCCCUGGAGACCUCAAUUAUGUAAAUAAUAAACCUUUUCAUACUCUCUUGGUGUUUGGGUGGUGUCGUCAGUCUUCAUUCAAACCAAACCUUGGAUGGGAUCCAUCUGCCUCUGCAGGUGACCGUAACAACAUGCAAAUGGUGAGUUCUGCUGGGGGGUCAUGGAAGCUCCCUGGAGGAGGUGUAUCUGGACAACAGGGAAAGAAAGGAGCUGGAGAAGAGAGGCAGAAAAAUUGGGUCCUGGUUCAGGUGAAGUUUUCCCAGCUGGAACAAUGACAAUGUCAAUAUCCCACAAAGGCGGCUUCUGUUUAUUUAGCGCUUGCUGUGUUCCCACAAGUCUUCCUCUACCUGCCCUCUCCCCAGCCCUCAUCUCACUCUCCCAGAGCCCCAGAGCACACCAAUGGACACCAUCACCUCUCGGGCAGAUCAGCACAGAGACGUGAAGCACACAGGCAGCUGCUGGAAAAAUAACAAGGAAUUGCAAUGGUGUGCCCCUCCGUUGAAUGCAAGCUCUCUUCUGCCUUCUCACCUUGGGCAAGUUACCUUCCGUUCCAGGCCUCGGUUUCUCCAUGUGUGAAAUGAAAGGGCUGGAGAGAAAUCUCUCACUAUUCCCCAAUCUACAUUCAUUGUAUCCCAAACCUUCUAAUAUCUGUUCAACGAAGUGUACCAAAUCUCAGCUAUUGGACUGAGACUCAGGGGUCUAUCUGACUUGAAUUGAAAAUGCAAAUUACUGAAGAGGGAGGGAGGGAGGAGUGCUGAAGAUUGAAUGGAUUUAUCAGAUUUCCUUCUCCUAUGGCCCAGAUGCAGGCCUAGUCCAGGCGAUUCCCCUGGCUCAGAAUCUGCCAGGCUCAAGCAUUCAUUGACAGCCUACUAUGUACCAAUCCUGGGCUGAGUCCCAACCCGGGGAUGACUUAGAGGAGGCCAGGAUGUGGCCUCAUGUUCUGGUUGCUCUCACAUUUAAACAGGCUAAACCCACUUUGCAUUGUAUGUUAGGGGUGGUGCUUGUGGGACAAAGGGGGCUGUCAGAACAUUCUGGCUGCCACAUGAAGUUGACUUUGCCAGGACAGACUGGGUUGUGGGGGAAGGCAGCUACUGUAAUAAUUUGGCCAAGAAGUGGGCUGAGCAGGAGCAGGGCUGAGGGAGGGAGAGAGGGAAUGAGUAAGAAAGGCCCAGGGUACUGAUUUGACUGGGACUUCAGGGACAGGUGUGGGGCGAGAGGGAUGCUGGAAGUGAAGGAGGGAAAGUGCAGAGGCUUUCUGGGGAUUAAUAGGCAAUGAUCUCUAUGAGGGCGUGGUGAGUAGGCCCCAAACAUCCGGGGACUUCCCUGCCUGCCAUCCCUCUGUCUCUCUCUUCCUUUCCUACUGCCCAGGGCCUGGCCCUGCUGCACAUGCCCUGCCCUGGCCCCCAGAGUCCCCUUCUUUCCUGGCUGGGAGAUUAAGACUCUGCUGUGCCUACAGCAUUCUCAACCUCAAGUCAAGGUGGCCCUUUGGAGCCCAGGAGGCCACAUGGCUGAGUCAGGGCUGAGUCACCACCCCCCAAGGGCCUUGCCAUUUCCUGUGGAGAAGCCUCUUUACUGGCAGGGUUCUGUGCUCAGGUGGGAAAUCUGGAGAGGUCGGGGGCAGGGCUUCAUCUACUUUUACCCACUAACUCCCUAGACACUCCACUGGGGGUAGAGGGUUCCUACACGUAUGAUGAUCAAAACAUGUGUCUGUGCACAUGGGCCCUUAUGCAUUCACAGGUGUUUGCCUAUGCGACUGCAUGUCUGAAUGUUUUAUGUAUAUUUGAAUAUAGAUAGGGAACAAAUAUUUAUGGAGCACAUAUUAUGUGUGCAGCCUUUUACGUGUGUUACUUUCUAAUAACCCUAGGAGGCGUAGAUGCCUCCCAGGCUAUGGUUGAAAAUACUGACAUGCCCAAGGUGCAGGAGGUAUGAAUACCUCCCCACUGUGGCUGGUAACACCCCAGGUUUCUCCAACUCCACAGUGAUGGGCUUUCCUCCAGAGCCGGUUCCUCAGGGGCAGGAGUGAGAAGUGUGUGUGUCUGUAUUUAUCCUUCCACCAGUGGCUGUGAUUGGUCCUGUGGUUGGAAACAGGGUCAAGUAAGGCCCUUGGGAGUAGCUGGGUGAAUGGACGAUGGUGGCGUCCACCUUGGACAUGGCACAUACUUCUGGUCGGGUAUCCACGUGGCUGGCCAACCCGGACCUGCCCUAUUAGGGGCCAUCGCCCUCAUGGCUCAUCAGUGCUGAGUUUCAUUGCCUUCUUCGUAAUGCAAUACUAAUGGAUACAGGCAUGUAUCUGCCGUACACUAGAUGAAAUGUGGUUAUUUGCUCAGGUAGAAAUAAAGACUAAAAUACCAAAGUGGGA